RNAcentral lists this ribosomal RNA (496 nucleotides) under uncultured bacterium. Its description in RNAcentral is "partial 16S ribosomal RNA". It matches the Rfam family "Bacterial small subunit ribosomal RNA", at positions 28 to 507 of the family's 1533-position model. The record is from RNAcentral.
GAUGAACGCUGGCGGCGUGCCUAAUACAUGCAAGUCGAGCGAACAGACGAGGAGCUUGCUCCUCUGACGUUAGCGGCGGACGGGUGAGUAACACGUGGAUAACCUACCUAUAAGACUGGGAUAACUUCGGGAAACCGGAGCUAAUACCGGAUAAUAUAUUGAACCGCAUGGUUCAAUAGUGAAAGACGGUUUUGCUGUCACUUAUAGAUGGAUCCGCGCCGCAUUAGCUAGUUGGUAAGGUAACGGCUUACCAAGGCAACGAUGCGUAGCCGACCUGAGAGGGUGAUCGGCCACACUGGAACUGAGACACGGUCCAGACUCCUACGGGAGGCAGCAGUAGGGAAUCUUCCGCAAUGGGCGAAAGCCUGACGGAGCAACGCCGCGUGAGUGAUGAAGGUCUUCGGAUCGUAAAACUCUGUUAUUAGGGAAGAACAAAUGUGUAAGUAACGAUGCACGUCUUGACGGUACCUAAUCAGAAAGCACGGCUAACUACGUG